This 22-nucleotide non-coding RNA is filed under the name Arabidopsis thaliana (thale cress). Lineage: Eukaryota; Viridiplantae; Streptophyta; Magnoliopsida; Brassicales; Brassicaceae. The record is from RNAcentral.
CAUGAGCAGAAAUGGUGCAGUG